CCGAGACACACAGGGAACGAGAAGACGUGGCCUCCACAGCCCCGGGAGCCUCGGCAGAGAUGUGUGUCCACGCCUCUCAUUUCCAACGUCCUCAGCAGUCUGGCUCCCACCCUUUGCCCAUGGAUUCUGCUCUGGACCUUGAACCCACAGUUCCAGGAGUCCCUGAAAUCCUCAGAGCAGCACUUCCAAAGCUGCAGGGAAGCCGACACAGCCUGACAGCUUGUCCAGGCCCACCAGUGACUCCCAGGACAGGAACAAGAAAGAGGCAUCUGCUCAGGUAGAAAAGAGCUUACGGGGGCUUCCUCAUCACCCCUCCACACACUGAAAAGGCUCUGACAGCAGUAACAGGUCACAGGGAUGCCCAAAAGGACUGUGCAAGAGGGCAGUGAGCCCGAGGAUCCUGGGUCCAUCUGGAACUCGGCCAUCCAGAGAGCAAGUGUGCUCAGUCC
Cervus elaphus (red deer) is the source of this 449-nucleotide long non-coding RNA. RefSeq lists it as uncharacterized. NCBI's taxonomy places the organism in Eukaryota, Metazoa, Chordata, Mammalia, Artiodactyla, Cervidae. The record is from RefSeq and is a predicted model, not a curated record. The transcript has 3 exons.